UUUCCGUAGGUGAACCUGCGGAAGGAUCAUUCAUAAUAAGUGUUUUAUGGCACUUUUUUAAAUCCAUAUCCACCUUGUGUGCGAUGUCAGGGUUGAUUUUUCUCUCGAGAGGAUCAACCCCAAACAUCAACUAUAUCUCAACUCUUUGUUUGAAAAAUAUUAUGAAUAAAACAAUUCAAAAUACAACUUUCAACAACGGAUCUCUUGGCUCUC
This 213-nucleotide unclassified non-coding RNA is filed under the name plant metagenome. Its description in RNAcentral is "partial contains small subunit ribosomal RNA, internal transcribed spacer 1, and 5.8S ribosomal RNA". The record is from RNAcentral.